Non-coding RNA from Podarcis lilfordi (Lilford's wall lizard), 120 nucleotides. The record is from the annotation of a GenBank genome assembly. Lineage: Eukaryota; Metazoa; Chordata; Lepidosauria; Squamata; Lacertidae.
CAUGGUGGGGAACUUUUGGCCCUCCAAAUGUUGAUGAACUAAAAAUCAUUGGUCAUGCUUGCUGAGGCUGAUGGGAGUUGUAGUUCAGUGAACAUCUGGAGGGCCAAAGGUUCCCCACAC